GUGGCGGACGGGUGAGUAACACGUGGGUAACCUGCCCAUAAGAGGGGGAUAACAUUCGGAAACGGAUGCUAAUACCGCAUAUUUCUAAACGUCACAUGACGAAUAGAAGAAAGGUGGCUUCGGCUACCGCUUAUGGAUGGACCCGCGGCGUAUUAGCUAGUUGGUGAGGUAAUGGCUCACCAAGGCGAUGAUACGUAGCCGACCUGAGAGGGUGAUCGGCCACACUGGGACUGAGACACGGCCCAGACUCCUACGGGAGGCAGCAGUAGGGAAUCUUCCGCAAUGGACGAAAGUCUGACGGAGCAAUGCCGCGUGAGUGAAGAAGGUUUUCGGAUCGUAAAACUCUGUUGUUAGAGAAGAACAAGGAUGAGAGUAACUGCUCAUCCCCUGACGGUAUCUAACCAGAAAGCCACGGCUAACUACGUGCCAGCAGCCGCGGUAAUACGUAGGUGGCAAGCGUUGUCCGGAUUUAUUGGGCGUAAAGCGAGCGCAGGCGGUUCUUUAAGUCUGAUGUGAAAGCCCCCGGCUCAACCGGGGAAGGUCAUUGGAAACUGGGGAACUUGAGUGCAGAAGAGGAGAGUGGAAUUCCACGUGUAGCGGUGAAAU
Molecule: ribosomal RNA, 606 nt
Filed under: Carnobacterium sp. I14B-00993
Lineage: Bacteria; Bacillati; Bacillota; Bacilli; Lactobacillales; Carnobacteriaceae
Also listed under: 1 other name
Description: bacterial SSU rRNA
Rfam family: Bacterial small subunit ribosomal RNA
Source: RNAcentral